GGUCUCCGGACGCCAGGAGUCGCGGAGGGCCGACCAGGAUGAAGAAACUUCAGGCGGAGUCCCAGGAGAGCAGCGCGGGAUCCCAGCCUCAGCCUGCCCAGACGGAGAGGUGCAGACCGACCUCCAAGAAGAUGGUUCUAACUCCUCCCGCCCUCUCUUCCCAUUGAGAAAUGGAGCCCCACCGCGACACAGGCUUGGAGAAGAAGUCGAGAACGGGAUGUGGCAAGGAUCUCUGUCACUCCAACGCUGGCCUUUCUGGCCAAGUCACCCGUUUGGCACUCCUUCCCGGAAGCCCAUGGCGGUGGCAUUGUGCUGUAUCCCGCCUGGGCUCUGACCUCUACACUGUCCUCCCUCUUGCUCUGUCUGCCAUGUUUCUGACGGGCCUGGAUGCUUCUUGGUCUGGCUCAGUGUCUUCCACAGAGAACACUUUUGAGUCCAUCAGGGAGAAACUGUGUGGAAAUCCAUUUCGUGAAUGUUGUCAUCAUAAAUCAUCAAAAUGUCAUCUGAUAGAACAUAUUUUUCUAAGUUAAUUUACUUAUGAGACAUUUACAA
Molecule: long non-coding RNA, 552 nt
Organism: Homo sapiens (human)
Lineage: Eukaryota; Metazoa; Chordata; Mammalia; Primates; Hominidae
Product: long intergenic non-protein coding RNA 2184
Source: Ensembl